Cavia aperea (Brazilian guinea pig) is the source of this 103-nucleotide unclassified non-coding RNA. Its record names the gene Vault. It matches the Rfam family "Vault RNA". From Rfam's summary of the family: This family of RNAs are found as part of the enigmatic vault ribonucleoprotein complex. The complex consists of a major vault protein (MVP), two minor vault proteins (VPARP and TEP1), and several small untranslated RNA molecules. It has been suggested that the vault complex is involved in drug resistance. Lineage: Eukaryota; Metazoa; Chordata; Mammalia; Rodentia; Caviidae. The record is from Ensembl.
GGGCUGGCUUUAGCCCAGCUGUUCCUUCGAGUCUGGCUUACUAACCGCCCGCGCCCACUGGUCCGGUGGUUCGAGACCCGCGUGCGCACUCUCCAGUCCUUUA